This 89-nucleotide unclassified non-coding RNA is filed under the name Pseudomonas mediterranea. The record is from RNAcentral. Lineage: Bacteria; Pseudomonadati; Pseudomonadota; Gammaproteobacteria; Pseudomonadales; Pseudomonadaceae.
UGUGGGAGCGAGCCUGCUCGCGAUAGCGCUGUGUCAGUCACAUCAAUGUUGAUUGAACUGACGCUAUCGCGAGCAGGCUCGCUCCCACA